CACGCAGGUGGCUUGGCAAGUCGGAUGUGAAAGCCCCGGGCUUAACCUGGGAACUGCAUUCGAUACUGCCGAGCUAGAGUAUGGGAGAGGAAAGCGGAAUUCCCGGUGUAGCGGUGAAACGCGUAGAUAUCGGGAGGAACAUCAGUGGCGAAGGCGGCUUUCUGGCCCAAUACUGACACUCAUGUGCGAAAGCGUGGGGAGCAAACA
RNAcentral lists this ribosomal RNA (207 nucleotides) under uncultured bacterium. Its description in RNAcentral is "partial 16S ribosomal RNA". It matches the Rfam family "Bacterial small subunit ribosomal RNA", at positions 568 to 774 of the family's 1533-position model. The record is from RNAcentral.